GAGACACCCUCCUGGGGCAAGACUUGCUUCAGUGGGGCUUUGGUGCUCACUGAGUCUGCCCCCUGAGUGUGUCCCU
This is a non-coding RNA of Myotis lucifugus (little brown bat), 76 nucleotides long. The record is from Rfam. NCBI's taxonomy places the organism in Eukaryota, Metazoa, Chordata, Mammalia, Chiroptera, Vespertilionidae.